AGAUGAGAGGCUGUUGCUUUUGCCACCAUCCCUGCCUGCCAGCAGUGUGUGGGCAGGCAGGGGCAGGAAGGUGGCCAGGGGCAGAAAAGUGCCCCUACCACAGCUAUUUCCUCCUCUUCUCUCCCAGACCCCUUCUCUCACAGGAGGAAAAGGGGAGUUGGGGGAGGGGGUGAUUGUCACAUCCCUGUUGCCUACUCAAGCCUUCCAUUCCCAUGCACUGGUAACUCAUUCACUUCCCUGGGAUACAACUUUGCUUUGGCCUGGCACAAUCUGAGCAGAAAUAUUUGGAACUGACACUAGGGGGGUGAUCAUCCCUGGAGACUCAACUGAUCUUUUUCUCUUUUGCAGAGAAAUUAGCCACCAAACCCCCUAAGGGAGCAGGUCGAGGAGAUGGAGGAACUGUCCAGGGCAGUCACCAAAGGGUCUGAGAUCUUAGAGGGAGGCUCACAAGAAAGGCCUUUUCAAGGGUGCUGGAUUGCAGCCUGCUCGCCAGAGGGAAGAUCAACCUGCUGCAGAGGCUCCUGGAUGGUUCUGCUGACACCAGCUUGGCUGAGGAGGUUGUCCUGGAGCCCAGAGUGAAAGCUUGAAACACAAGCUGAUCCAGGGACUUGAAAAGAAGCUGGAAGCCCAAAAAGCCAUUGGGAGAUAU
This is a long non-coding RNA of Mauremys mutica (yellowpond turtle), 649 nucleotides long. RefSeq lists it as uncharacterized. Lineage: Eukaryota; Metazoa; Chordata; Testudines; Geoemydidae. The transcript is spliced from 3 exons. The record is from RefSeq and is a predicted model, not a curated record.